AUGAUGUUUCUCAAUAGUAAGGUCUCCCUAGCUACCAUGGGGAGGAGCACAGCUACCGGUGGUGUCCGGCGUGGACAAAUUAACUCAGAAUUUUCAGUCCGCCUCAUGGACGGUCCUCCCACGCCCGAUGGCCAUGAGGUGCACGCGGUGCAUUGGGCCAUGCCUUCUUUGCACCGGACCCAAGCGCAAGCCGAUGAGCUUGAUGAGGACAUCGUCGUGAUCUUGACCUCGACUACUUCCUACACAAAGUUGUGCCUCUGCCCCUCUCCCUGCCGGUGCUCUAGACUGGUUUUGAUUUAUCUUGUUGGUUGGGAAACUAUCAAAUCUGUUUUGGGUGCUACACGCUGCUGUUUUGAGAGAUUUCAGACUUUUGUUAUGUUGUGUGCACACAAACAUGCAACAUUGCUUCCUAAAUAUAGAGCAAUCCUUUGA
Molecule: ribosomal RNA, 432 nt
Filed under: Triticum aestivum (bread wheat)
Lineage: Eukaryota; Viridiplantae; Streptophyta; Magnoliopsida; Poales; Poaceae
Description: partial small subunit ribosomal RNA
Source: RNAcentral